This 492-nucleotide ribosomal RNA is filed under the name uncultured bacterium. Its description in RNAcentral is "partial 16S ribosomal RNA". It matches the Rfam family "Bacterial small subunit ribosomal RNA", at positions 29 to 507 of the family's 1533-position model. The record is from RNAcentral.
AGUGAACGCUGGCGGUAGGCCUAACACAUGCAAGUCGAACGGCAGCACAGUAAGAGCUUGCUCUUACGGGUGGCGAGUGGCGGAAGGGUGAGGAAUACAUCGGAAUCUACUUUUUCGUGGGGGAUAACGUAGGGAAACUUACGCUAAUACCGCAUACGACCUACGGGUGAAAGCAGGGGAUCUUCGGACCUUGCGCGAUUGAAUGAGCCGAUGUCGGAUUAGCUAGUUGGCGGGGUAAAGGCCCACCAAGGCGACGAUCCGUAGCUGGUCUGAGAGGAUGAUCAGCCACACUGGAACUGAGACACGGUCCAGACUCCUACGGGAGGCAGCAGUGGGGAAUAUUGGACAAUGGGCGCAAGCCUGAUCCAGCCAUACCGCGUGGGUGAAGAAGGCCUUCGGGUUGUAAAGCCCUUUUGUUGGGAAAGAAAAGCAGCAGGUUAAUACCCCGCUGUUCUGACGGUACCCAAAGAAUAAGCACCGGCUAACUUCGUG